RNAcentral lists this unclassified non-coding RNA (89 nucleotides) under Pseudomonas mediterranea. The record is from RNAcentral. Lineage: Bacteria; Pseudomonadati; Pseudomonadota; Gammaproteobacteria; Pseudomonadales; Pseudomonadaceae.
UGUGGGAGCGAGCCUGCUCGCGAUGGCAAAGGUACAUUCAAUAGAUACGUUGCUGAUGUACCGCUAUCGCGAGCAGGCUCGCUCCCACA